RNAcentral lists this ribosomal RNA (253 nucleotides) under uncultured bacterium. RNAcentral's name for it is "partial 16S ribosomal RNA". It matches the Rfam family "Bacterial small subunit ribosomal RNA", at positions 524 to 776 of the family's 1533-position model. The record is from RNAcentral.
UACGUAGGGUGCAAGCGUUAAUCGGAAUUACUGGGCGUAAAGCGUGCGCAGGCGGUUGUGCAAGACAGAUGUGAAAUCCCCGGGCUCAACCUGGGAAUUGCAUUUGUGACUGCAUGGCUAGAGUUUGUCAGAGGGGGGUGGAAUUCCACGUGUAGCAGUGAAAUGCGUAGAUAUGUGGAGGAACACCGAUGGCGAAGGCAGCCCCCUGGGAUGUGACUGACGCUCAUGUACGAAAGCGUGGGGAGCAAACAGG